Molecule: long non-coding RNA, 1223 nt
Filed under: Daucus carota (carrot)
Lineage: Eukaryota; Viridiplantae; Streptophyta; Magnoliopsida; Apiales; Apiaceae
Description: long non-coding RNA (DCAR_LNC004727)
Source: RNAcentral
AACUCUCUCUCUCACUGUCGUCAAAAAACAACAGUGUACCAAUGCCUGCCAGCUGCAGUUCUGGGGCUCCAAAUUUUGGCUAUUCUGGAUUCCCCAAUGAGAAGCCAGCAGGACAGUGGGUACCUGAAGAUAAAAAAGAUGAAAGCAUUAUGAAGCUGGCUCCAAGGGUGCGUGAAUUACAAAAUCGGAUGCAGGAAUGGACAGAAUGGGCUGAUCAGAAGGUUAUGCAGGCUGCUCGUAGAUUGAGCAAAGAUAAGGCUGAACUUAAGACACUUAAACAAGAGAAAGAAGAAGUGGAGCGCCUUAAGAAGGAGAAGCAAAGUUUGGAGGAGAACACAAUGAAAAAACUAUGCGAGAUGGAAAAUGCUUUAUGCAAGGCAAGUGGGCAGUUGGAGCGGGCUAAUGCUGCUGUCCGUAGGCUGGAGGUGGAGAAUUCAACAUUGAGACAAGAGAUGGAGGCUGCAAAAUAACAAGCAGCACAGUCCCUUAGCAUGCAUAUUGUUGUUGUAUGAGAAGGAAACUGCAGGCUCUGCUGAAAAACCAUUUACUGCUGUCGGACCAACCCAUUCUUCGGCUUCUGAAGAAAAGUUCAUUGGAAGCAGAAAGAUCUCUGGUAUAACUAAAAGAGAGUACAUACUUCGGCAUAAGUCGAUUCAACUGGAGAAAAGCUAUCGUACUUGUGGAUCCAAAGGUGGCUCUAGGGCAGGAAAACUCAGUAGUUUUGGUGGUUUAGUUUAGGAUAAAAAAGUAAAGUCUGUGGCAGAUUCUACAGGUCUAAGUGUAAGAAAUGCCACCUUAAAGAUUAGCAAGGAAAUGGGAACCUGUUUGCCUCAGGACACCUUGCACAAUGAUCUUUUGAAUACAAAUGGUCUGCCUCCUACAUUCAGUCUGGAUACUGUUAAUAAUACUAUUUCGUCAAUACCUAAGACUAAUUUUGUAUCAGCAAUACCUACAAUCAGUGACCAAAAUUCACUACCAGCACCUGAUACUGAACUCUCUCUCUCACUGUCGUCAAAAAACAACAGUGUACCAAUGCCUGCCAGCUGCAGUUCUGGGGCUCCAAAUUUUGGCUAUUCUGGAUUCCCCAAUGAGAAGCCAGCAGGACAGUGGGUACCUGAAGAUAAAAAAGAUGAAAGCAUUAUGAAGCUGGCUCCAAGGGUGCGUGAAUUACAAAAUCGGAUGCAGGAAUGGACAGAAUGGGCUGAUCAGAAGGUUAUGCAGGC